Molecule: ribosomal RNA, 495 nt
Filed under: uncultured bacterium
Lineage: Bacteria
Description: partial 16S ribosomal RNA
Rfam family: Bacterial small subunit ribosomal RNA
Source: RNAcentral
CGAACGCUGGCGGCGUGCCUAAUACAUGCAAGUAGACCGCUGAAGAGAGGAGCUUGCUCUUCUUGGAUGAGUUGCGAACGGGUGAGUAACGCGUAGGUAACCUGCCUUGUAGCGGGGGAUAACUAUUGGAAACGAUAGCUAAUACCGCAUAACAAUGGAUGACACAUGUCAUUUAUUUGAAAGGGGCAAUUGCUCCACUACAAGAUGGACCUGCGUUGUAUUAGCUAGUAGGUGAGGUAAUGGCUCACCUAGGCGACGAUACAUAGCCGACCUGAGAGGGUGAUCGGCCACACUGGGACUGAGACACGGCCCAGACUCCUACGGGAGGCAGCAGUAGGGAAUCUUCGGCAAUGGGGGCAACCCUGACCGAGCAACGCCGCGUGAGUGAAGAAGGUUUUCGGAUCGUAAAGCUCUGUUGUAAGUCAAGAACGGGUGUGAGAGUGGAAAGUUCACACUGUGACGGUAGCUUACCAGAAAGGGACGGCUAACUACGUG